Carcharodon carcharias (great white shark) is the source of this 266-nucleotide long non-coding RNA. RefSeq lists it as uncharacterized. Lineage: Eukaryota; Metazoa; Chordata; Chondrichthyes; Lamniformes; Lamnidae. The transcript has 3 exons. The record is from RefSeq and is a predicted model, not a curated record.
UCCGCCCCUUCCCCGAGGACCCGCAUCCCCGAGCAUGCGCAGUUCGGGGUAAAAUGAAUGCCGGAGAGAGAGGCGGCAGCGGAUGAGCCUUGCUGUCUGCGUUUCCUCGCCUCACACUCACCCUCCGCUGGGAUCGAGCAGCUGUUAGCGCCGGGCAAGGUUGGGGUGCGGAGGAAGCCCCCGCCCCGCGGAGCCGCGGCGAUGGAGGAGCUGGGCCCGGACGUGGUGAAGGUGACGGUGGGGGGCAGCCCGGAGCGGGGGGCCGG